AAACUUUAUCCAACGGGUAUGGUAUAUGCACGCCCCGAGCACUUGGACGACUACUUGUAGUCGGUGAAGGGAUCAAUGUCUUGGUCAGAGUACGCUUUGGACACUAUAUGGUGGUAAAUCUGAGUCGUAUCUGACCGUUGCUUGAUUAACAGGUGGAAUCCGAAAAUGUUGCUAAUAUAAUAGGGGGCCCAAUGCUAAUUAUUGGCACGCCUAUCAUAGCAGAUCUGCA
Molecule: long non-coding RNA, 229 nt
Filed under: Setaria italica (foxtail millet)
Lineage: Eukaryota; Viridiplantae; Streptophyta; Magnoliopsida; Poales; Poaceae
Description: long non-coding RNA (SITA_LNC004597)
Source: RNAcentral